AAGCGUCCGAGCAACAGGUCAACAGAAACCAAACGAACCAGUGCACAACAGCAGCAAAUGGGGGACAAAAAAACACAACAAAUAAGCAUGCAUGUAGCAAGCAAAGCAGAAGAGCUCUCAUGAGAAAACAAGAACAGAGGCAGCUCAUACAAGAACUGAAGCGCACAAGCAGAUGUCGCCGAGCUCUUGGCCAAUCAUGGGCUUGUCGGGGUGUGAAUCGUUAAAUCUAAUGUUGCGAUCUCGAGUUUCCAGAGUCACACCGAUCGAACCCUCCUUGGAAGCCUAACCCUCAUUAAAUUUUUUUUAUUAAUGAAUCUUUCAAAUUUUUAUUGGCCCCUACAACAGAACCCUCCUUGGUUUCCAUCUUGAAGCUGCCAAAUCCAAUGACAACAGGAUAUCGAUGAAGCCAAAUGUUAUUGCCGGAUAUGAGUUGAGUUCUAAAUUUUUUGGUUGUGAAUUCUUUUUGGGCAUGGGUAAUUUUCUGGAUUAGGCUUUGUUAUGUAUACAUAUCAAUAUUCUUGUAAUAUGUUUCACAUCUCUUGAAUGCAUGAAAUUAUUUGUCUUAGCAAGACCUAAAGAUUGUUACUUUUUGAAUGACUCAGCUGGAUGUAGAAUGAAGCUUCCAUGUACUCCCCAAAAUAACUUGCAGAGACGGU
This 656-nucleotide long non-coding RNA is filed under the name Manihot esculenta (cassava). RNAcentral's name for it is "long non-coding RNA (MESC_LNC005831)". Lineage: Eukaryota; Viridiplantae; Streptophyta; Magnoliopsida; Malpighiales; Euphorbiaceae. The record is from RNAcentral.